GUGCCCCAAUAAAAAGUUAUAAUCAUAUUACUUCUAGAAACCAUCAGGCAUACAACAAAGAUUCAAACUGCACAUCUUAUGGGUACUAAUUUGCAUAUCAAGAAAACAUAAAUACUGAUAAAACAGAUUUGGUCCUCUUGAGGUGCAGUAAAGCCCAUAAAAAUGAAAAAAUAUUUGCAUGCUAUCUUGGUAAAGUCAUUAAAAUGAAA
Molecule: unclassified non-coding RNA, 209 nt
Filed under: Hevea brasiliensis (rubber tree)
Lineage: Eukaryota; Viridiplantae; Streptophyta; Magnoliopsida; Malpighiales; Euphorbiaceae
Source: RNAcentral